Molecule: unclassified non-coding RNA, 220 nt
Filed under: soil metagenome
Description: partial contains 5.8S ribosomal RNA, internal transcribed spacer 2, and large subunit ribosomal RNA
Source: RNAcentral
AACGCACGAGACCUGCGGACCUGCGGAGGGAUCAUUACCGUAAGAUACCUAGGGUUUUGAGACUGCAUUCAAAUGGAUGCGUGCUCAACCCUUCCUCUUCAUCCACAUACACCUGUGCACUAUGGGAUGUAAAAUCCCCUUUUUUCCACACAAAAACCGAGUUAUAUGCAUGUAUUUAUUGCUCUACGGAGUAACAUACAACUUUUAACAACGGAUCUCU